GAUGAAGAACGUAGCGAAAUGCGAUAAGUAAUGUGAAUUGCAGAAUUCAGUGAAUCAUCGAAUCUUUGAACGCACAUUGCGCCCUCUGGUAUUCCGGGGGGCAUGCCUGUUCGAGCGUCAUUAUAACCACUCAAGCUCUCGCUUGGUAUUGGGGUUCGCGGUUUCGCGGCCCCUAAAAUCAGUGGCGGUGCCUGUCGGCUCUACGCGUAGUAAUACUUCUCGCGAUUGAGUUCGAUAGGUCUACUUGCCAGUAACCCCCAAUUUUUACAGGUUGACCUCGGAUCAGGUAGGGAUACCCGCUGAACUUACGCAUAUCAAUAAGCGGAGGA
This 329-nucleotide unclassified non-coding RNA is filed under the name soil metagenome. RNAcentral describes it as "partial contains 5.8S ribosomal RNA, internal transcribed spacer 2, and large subunit ribosomal RNA". The stretch from base 1 to 120 matches the Rfam family "5.8S ribosomal RNA", at positions 35 to 154 of the family's 154-position model. The record is from RNAcentral.